GGGGUUUUAGUUUAACCUGGUAGAACGGCCGGCUCCAGACCGGCUAACAAGGGUUCAAAUCCCUUAGACCCCA
RNAcentral lists this transfer RNA (73 nucleotides) under Candidatus Aenigmatarchaeota archaeon. RNAcentral's name for it is "tRNA-Trp". It matches the Rfam family "tRNA". From Rfam's summary of the family: Transfer RNA (tRNA) molecules are approximately 80 nucleotides in length. Lineage: Archaea; Nanobdellati; Candidatus Aenigmatarchaeota. The record is from RNAcentral.